Molecule: non-coding RNA, 92 nt
Organism: Lachnoclostridium sp. An298
Lineage: Bacteria; Bacillati; Bacillota; Clostridia; Lachnospirales; Lachnospiraceae
Source: Rfam
ACCCCUUGAAGACGACGAGGUAGAUAGGGCAGAGGUGGAAGUGCGGUAACGCAUGGAGCUGACUGUUACUAAUAGGUCGAGGGCAUAACCAA